RNAcentral lists this ribosomal RNA (449 nucleotides) under uncultured bacterium. RNAcentral's name for it is "partial 16S ribosomal RNA". It matches the Rfam family "Bacterial small subunit ribosomal RNA", at positions 354 to 796 of the family's 1533-position model. The record is from RNAcentral.
GUCGAGAAUCUUUCACAAUGGGGGCAACCCUGAUGGAGCGACGCCGCGUGGAGGAUAAGGUCUUCGGAUUGUAAACUCCUGUCAUGCGUGAACAAGGUUGCUUGGUUAAUACCUGGGCAAAUUGAUGGUAACGCAAGAGGAAGAGACGGCUAACUCUGUGCCAGCAGCCGCGGUAAUACAGAGGUCUCAAGCGUUGUUCGGAAUCACUGGGCGUAAAGGGUUCGUAGGUGGCGUGGUAAGUCAGAUGUGAAAGCCCGGGGCUCAACCUCGGAACUGCAUCCGAUACUGCCAUGCUAGAGUACUGGAGAGGUGACUAGAAUUCUCGGUGUAGCAGUGAAAUGCGUAGAUAUCGAGAGGAAUACCAAAGGCGUAGGCAGGUCACUGGACAGUUACUGACACUGAGGCACGAAGGCCAGGGGAGCGAACGGGAUUAGAAACCCCGGUAGUCC